CGCUGCGUAGACCGGCCGGGCCCGGCGCGGCGGUGUUUACCCGCGUGGGGUCGGCCGCUCGGGCGGCGCGCGUCCCUGUCUGAGUCCGCCCGCCCGGGGCUGUCUGUGAGGUCAUGUGUGUGUGUGUGUUCGUCUGCGCGCGCGCUCCCCGGAGACACCGGCCCGACUCGCUACACUGUAUCCGCUCGCGCAGUCGGGAGCCCAGGUCGCCGCCCGCGCACCUGCGCAGGACGCCCGGUCUGCCCGCGGCUCGUCUGCCCGGCCGGUCUUUCCGCAGGGCCCGAGUGCGAGCCGUCGAGCAGCGCGCGGGGCAGGCUCGCGGCAAAAGCAGGCGGGCCCCGCGGUGCUGAAGCUCACGGCGGCCUCGUGGCGACACACGGGAAGCAGAUGGUCGCAAACAAAGUCUCAAACUGCGGCUCUUACAAGUUCCACAAGGGAAGGGAAUCUGCUGUGAAAUAGGAUUCUGGAGGCGAGGGGGAGGCGGGUCCUCGGUGAAGGCUGUUGUCAUGGUAACCACAUACUCUAUCAUUGGAUACUUGAUAACUAUUUUAGAAAAAGGGUAAAAACCUCAAUAGUUCACCUUGUACAAAUAAAAGAGACCGAAGGGAAGGAAGGAUGGAAACGAGGGAAGAAAGGCAAAAAUUGGAGCACCGGAGACUGCUGCAGCUACGUGACCUGGAACAUUUUUGUCAGCUUUCUUGUGAGUAAAUUGAUCUUACAAUGAAUUAAGGGGUGACAUUUAUGGAGCUACUUUGACACAGUAGAAGCUGUCUCUGAAGAGUGGUCAAGAACUAAAGGAAAAUGGAGGUUGGACAUAUGGACAGGUCUCCCUCUUCACGGAAUGCUCCAUUCCCAUCCGGUCUGUUCAGAGAGCCACGGUACAUGUUCGGAGACGUGUUCGCGGCGUCAGUGUGUGGGGAAGAACAUGGCUGUUGCUUGGAGAGGGGGAGCUUGGGGAGAUUGGAAAAAAAGAGGAAUUCUUCGGCCCAGACUAUUGCUCAAGGGCUUAAAGAGAUCAUCUCCUAAGAGAGAGCUUGUUAGGAAAUAAGCCUGAGAAAGACUAAGGCCUUCUUUAUGGAGGCCUGAACUUCAUACCUCUUACAGCAAGAAGUUUGUAACGGAGGCUCAAAGGCGACGCCGAGUCCGCAUAGGUCUCCCCAGACAAAUAAA
This is a long non-coding RNA of Mustela erminea (ermine), 1170 nucleotides long. RefSeq lists it as uncharacterized. The transcript is spliced from 4 exons. The record is from RefSeq and is a predicted model, not a curated record. Lineage: Eukaryota; Metazoa; Chordata; Mammalia; Carnivora; Mustelidae.